UCGGCCGGGCCAGUGGCACGGCCAGCUCUGCGCACAGAAGAUCAGCAAAGACCCCCGGUGCACAAGAAGGAAACGACGCUCAGACAGGCAUGCCCGCCGGAAUACCGACGGGCGCAAUGUGCGUUCAAGAACUCGAUGAUUCACGAUGGCUGCAAU
RNAcentral lists this ribosomal RNA (156 nucleotides) under Pichia membranifaciens. RNAcentral describes it as "5.8S ribosomal RNA". The record is from RNAcentral. Lineage: Eukaryota; Fungi; Ascomycota; Pichiomycetes; Pichiales; Pichiaceae.